CCAAGAGGAAGAAGGUGGCCCUCACCCCUGCUGUCUUGAAAAAGCAGGAGGCCAAGAAAGUGAUAAAUCCCGUUUGAGAAAAGGCCUAAGAAUGUUGGCAUUAGACAGUACAUCCAGCCCAAAAGGGACCUCCCUGGCUUUGUGAAAUGGCCCCGCUAUAUCAGGUUGCUGUGGCAAAGAGCCAUCCCCCGUAAGUGGCUGAAAGUGCCUCCUGCGAUUGACCCGUUCAUUCAGGCCUUGGACCACCAAACAGCUACUCAGCUGCAUAAGCUGGCCCACAAGUACAGACCAGAGACAAAGCAAGAGAAGAGGCUGUUGGCCCAGGCUGAGAAGAAAGCUGUGGCAAAGGGGAUGUGUCCACUAAGAGACUACCUGUUCUUUGAGCAGGAUUAACACUAUCACCACCUUGGUGGAGAAUAAGAAGGCUCAACUGAUGGUAACUGCACAUGACAUGGAUCCCAUUGAACUAAUCGUCUUCCUGCCUGCCCUGCGUCAUAAAAUGAGGAUCCCUCACUGCAUUAUCAAGGGGAAGGCAAGACUAGAAUGUCUAGUCCACAGGAAGACCUGCACCACUGUCGCUUUCACACAGGUUAGCUUGGAAGACAAAAGAGCUUUGGUUAAGCCAGUGGAAGCUAUCAGGACCAAUUACAACAAUAGAUACGAUGACAUCUAACAUCACUGAGGAGGCAAUUUCCUGAGUCUAAAAUCUUUGGCUCACAUUCCCAAGCUGGAAAAGGCAAAGGCUAAAGAACCCACCACUAGACUGG
RNAcentral lists this long non-coding RNA (767 nucleotides) under Homo sapiens (human). RNAcentral describes it as "non-protein coding lnc-IMMP2L-5:1". The record is from RNAcentral. Lineage: Eukaryota; Metazoa; Chordata; Mammalia; Primates; Hominidae.